AAGUCGUAACAAGGUUUCCGUUGGUGAACCUGCGGAAGGAUCAUUAACAAAUGUGAAAUAUUUAUAUAUAUAUACGAGCAAUGCAGUCGUCUGACUGGCAUAUAAAAUAUACAGCUUAUUUGUAGUAAUAAAAACAUAAUUUAUAUACAACUUUUAACAAUGGAUCUCUUGGCUCUC
RNAcentral lists this unclassified non-coding RNA (177 nucleotides) under fungal sp. RNAcentral describes it as "partial internal transcribed spacer region". The stretch from base 1 to 46 matches the Rfam family "Eukaryotic small subunit ribosomal RNA", at positions 1786 to 1831 of the family's 1831-position model. The record is from RNAcentral. Lineage: Eukaryota; Fungi.